UACGGAGGGUGCAAGCGUUAAUCGGAAUUACUGGGCGUAAAGGGUUCGUAGGUGGUUUUAUAAGUUGGCUGUGAAAGCCCCGGGCUCAACCUGGGAUGGUCAGUCAAAACUGUAAGACUAGAGUAUAGUAGAGGGGUGUGGAAUUUCCGGUGUAGCGGUGAAAUGCGUAGAGAUCGGAAGGAACACCAGUGGCGAAGGCG
Molecule: ribosomal RNA, 200 nt
Filed under: uncultured bacterium
Lineage: Bacteria
Description: partial 16S ribosomal RNA
Rfam family: Bacterial small subunit ribosomal RNA
Source: RNAcentral